This is a non-coding RNA of Nematostella vectensis (starlet sea anemone), 72 nucleotides long. Lineage: Eukaryota; Metazoa; Cnidaria; Anthozoa; Actiniaria; Edwardsiidae. The record is from Rfam.
UCAAAUAUGGACUAGCGGAUAGGAUUUCUGGUUUUCACCCAGACGGCCCGGGUUCGACUCCCAGUAUGGGAA